AACGUAGGGGACAAGCGUUAUCCGGAUUUACUGGGCGUAAAGCGCCCGUAGGCGGCUUUUUAAGUUGGACGUGAAAGCUCCUGGCUUAACUGGGAGAGGCCGUUCAAAACUGAGAAGCUGGAGUGAGGCAGAGGAGUGCGGAAUUCCCGGUGUAGUGGUGGAAUGCGUAGAUAUCGGGAGGAACACCAGUGGCGAAAGCGGCACUCUGGGCCUAAACUGACGCUGAGGGGCGAAAGCGUGGGGAGCGAACGGGAUUAGAAACCCCCGUAGUCC
Molecule: ribosomal RNA, 273 nt
Filed under: uncultured bacterium
Lineage: Bacteria
Description: partial 16S ribosomal RNA
Rfam family: Bacterial small subunit ribosomal RNA
Source: RNAcentral